RNAcentral lists this long non-coding RNA (735 nucleotides) under Fukomys damarensis (Damara mole-rat). Its description in RNAcentral is "lncRNA (ENSFDAG00000032080.1)". Lineage: Eukaryota; Metazoa; Chordata; Mammalia; Rodentia; Bathyergidae. The record is from RNAcentral.
UGGUUAGACACCUCUCCAAUUCUGUUACAGGGGUGGUAGAUCCUGAGGCUGGAAGUACAGAAGGUAAAGAGAAUGUGCAUGGCCCAGCCCUAGUAAUUACUCUGGGCGCAAAACCACAAAGACAGCUCUGUGCAGAGUGCCUGCCAACUCAAGAGAGGCCCUACAGCUGAGUGGAGAUGUGUGGAAUUCAGAGUUCACCACUGCACAAUAAGGCAAUUUCUGUCAAAAACAUGACAGUGUGUCCUCAUCUACCUUAUUAAUUGGACCUGGCAUCACACAAGUUCUGGCUCUUCCCCCAAGACCAAAUUAUCAUGAAUCAACUCAGGACAUCAAGGCAACCACAGCAGAACAACUGAAAACACCCACAGAGAGGACUUCCACAACUGCGCAGAAAAUGGGCCACUUGUAAAACACGCAGCCCAGCCCAGGUUUCAAGACUUCAGGAAGCUAAAGGUCAACCACUACCAUUCCAUCUUAUGCCUGGAUGCUGCUGUCAUAGGCCAAUCUCUUUCUGCACACUUGGAAAAUGUCAUUUGAUAAGGUGGCCGAUGUGCUCCCAAAUAAGCAUUUGACAUAAUGUAGUUCAUCUUACAGGCAUCAUCAAAGUCUGGGAGAUAACAGUUCCUGGGAUCGCCCUUUGAACACCGCUGAUAGAUUGUUUUUAAAAAGGGGAAGGGUAAAAAGGGAAAAGAAAAAUAUGUGAGGUAAAGAAAAGAUGGAAAUAAAGUGCUUGCA